GGAGCAGCCAACUGUAACCAGUGACACAAGUAUUUUCAGCAGCUGCAAGAAAGAAUGGUGGCUUGAAGCUGUAAGAGUUGCAGACAGCAUUGAGAAUGUACAGAAAGCAUUGGAUCUUACUGAGGAGGAAACAUGUGAAGAAGAUGAGUGGUGGAUGGCUGUCGAAGAGACUGCAUACCAGAUCGAGCUAUCGUAUUUUGGAAAAG
Molecule: unclassified non-coding RNA, 206 nt
Filed under: Hevea brasiliensis (rubber tree)
Lineage: Eukaryota; Viridiplantae; Streptophyta; Magnoliopsida; Malpighiales; Euphorbiaceae
Source: RNAcentral